This 494-nucleotide ribosomal RNA is filed under the name uncultured bacterium. RNAcentral describes it as "partial 16S ribosomal RNA". It matches the Rfam family "Bacterial small subunit ribosomal RNA", at positions 28 to 507 of the family's 1533-position model. The record is from RNAcentral.
GACGAACGCUGGCGGCGUGCUUAACACAUGCAAGUCGAACGGAAAGGCCUGCUUUCCCUUGUGGAUUGCGGGUACUCGAGUGGCGAACGGGUGAGUAACACGUGAGUGAUCUGCCCCCAACUUGGGUAUAAGCCUGGGAAACUGGGUCUAAUUCCCGAUAGGACUGCAGGGUGGUGCCUGUGGUGGAAAACGAUUUUCUAGUGGUUGGGGAUGAGCUCGCGGCCUAUCAGCUUGUUGGUGGGGUACUGGCCUACCAAGGCGGCGACGGGUAGCCGGCCUGAGAGGGUGGACGGGCACAUUGGGACUGAGAUACGGCCCAGACUGCUACGGGAGGCAGGAGUGGGGAAUAUUGGACAAUGGGCGGAAGCCUGAUGCAGCGACGCCGCGUGGGGGAUGACGGCCUUCGGGUUGUAAACUCCUUUCGACCGCGAGGAAGCCACCUGGUUGGAAGGGUGGUGACGGUAGUGGUAGAAGAAGCACCGGCUAACUACGUG